ACACAUUUGCACACCAAAUCUCAUCAAGCGAAAACCUCUAUCUCUCAUUUCCCCUUUUCCCCCUUUUUUCUCUCUCUAAAUUCUCCAUUUUCUUCGAUCCUUUUUUUAAUUUGUAAGGUUUAAUUAAUUAAUCGGAUUUUGAUAUGAUUUAAUUUUAGAUUUAUUUUUCGAUCUAUGAUUACUGGGGGGAAAAUCGGUUAAAAUUGAAUCGGUAAUUCGGAAAAAUUGAAUCGGACGGUUGUGAUUGAUUGAUGAAAGUUGAAUUGAUUGAUUAUUGAUAAGGAGGUGGAAAAAUGCCAGGGUUAACGGCGCAGAGAAAUGAUGAGGAAAAUGAGAAUGGUUGUAGUAAAUCGUUAUCGAGUAGUGGAUUUUGGUCAAAGCAUCGUGAGGAUAUUAGCUAUAAUCAGCUGCAGAAGGUAGUAAUUUUAUUGAUUUUUUUUUGUUUUUUUUUUUGCUGAGUUUUAUUAGUGAAAUUUUUAGUAUUAAUCAGCUUUAGAAGGUAGUAGUUUUAUUGGAUUUUUUUGUUGUUUUUGAUGAGUAUUGAUUAGUGAAAUUUUUAGCUGUAAUCAGUUUCCGAAGGUAGUAAUCUGUAUUGGAUUUUUAUUUAAUUUUCUUUUUGUUUUUUUCGUGAGUUUUGAUUAGUGAAAUUUUAGUUAUAAUCAGCUGCAGAAGGUAGCAAUUUUAUUGGUAAUUUGUGAAUACUUUUUGUUGAAUUUAUUUGUUUUUGUUGUUUUUGAUGGAUUUUGGUUAGUGAAAUUUUAGUUAUAAUCAGCUUGAGAAGGUAGUAAUUUGAUUUUAUUGACAAUUUGGGAAUAUUUUUUGUUGAAUUUAUUGUUUUUUGGGGUUAUUUUUGAUGAGUUUUGAUUAGUGAAUUUUAGUUAGGUGUGGAGUUUUUGAGAAAUUAAUUGUUUGCUGGAGUUAUAAGUGAUAUAUGUAGUUGCUGGCUCACAGGGGAGCAUAACUGUUUGGAGCUCCCAAGGAGGGUUAAGAAAAUGUAUAUACGCAGUGGUUUUUGAUUGAGCUGUGCGAUUGUCAGUAAAUGUAGUUUAUAGGUUUUACAGGUUAGUGAGCUACUGUUUAUUGAGUUUUGAUUCAUUUAAUUUAGUUAUGUUGAUUCUUUUGAGAGAUUAAUUGUUUUUUGGAGUUUCAAGUGAUAUAUGUAGUUGGUCGGAUGGUAAGUACCCCUCGGCUUCAACCUUAAGGUUGUGAGUUCGAGUCACCAUGGGAGCAAAAAAGGUUGGGAGCUUCUAGGGAAGGGUAAAAAUAAAUAAAAAAUAAAAAUAAUAUAUCUGUAGAUGGUUUUUUGAUUGAGCUAGGUGAUUGUUGGUGCAUGUUUGUAGGUUUACAGGUUAAUGAGCUACUCUACUGUUUAUUGUUUUUGUUGAGUUUUGAUUAGUGAAUUUUUAGUUAUGUUUGAAGAUUAUGAGAGAUUAAUUGUUUUCUGGAGUUUCAAGUGAUAUAUGUAGUUGCUUGGAUGGUAAGCAAACCUCGCCUCCAAUCCUAAGGUUGUGAGUACGGGUCGCCAAGGGAGCAAAAAGGUUGGGAGCUCCUAAGGAGGGGUAACAAUAGAAAGUAUAUGUAUGUAUGCAUAUGGGUUUUAAUUGAGCUAUGCAAUUGUCGGUAAAUGUUGUUAGUGAGUUUUAUAGGUUAAUGAGCUACUGUUUGUUGCGAGCAUUUGACUGGACAUGGAGUUGUGAUGUUAAUUUGAUUUAUAAAGUGUACUUGGUGUAAUUGAAGAAAAUAUUAAUGUAAUAGUAGGUAAAAGGUUAUUUUGGUAGAGAAGAGAUCAAAUUAGUGGGUUCAAUUUGAAUUGUUUAAUGAAAUGUGAAAGUUGUGUAAAAAUGAAGCAGUUUUGAACAAAUUUCAUAUGUUCCAAAAUGGAAAGAAUGUCAUUGUUAUGUAAGCUGGACACAAUAAAAAAAUAGGGGGUUGAAUUAAUCACUUUCAAUAAUUUUGGAUAAUGUUUGUAUAUUACACUGAAUCUGUAUCAGAGAGGCUUUCAUGAAACUACCGUUAAUUACAUAUCAAUCUUGCGAACCUAUCUUAUUUCUCUUGUCCCUUUUGCUGAUUAGUUCAGUUCGAUACACACUCAAACAGUCAUUAUAAUUCGAAGUGAGAUUAGUCAAAAUGCAGCAGCGGCACAUUUAGAGAGAUGUUCAUCUAUGAAUUAAGUGCUAUAUAGUAUUUUGCUGGGAUGGGUUGGUUACCUUAAGCCCCUAGGGUUUUGAUCUAGUGGUAGGGAUGCAACGUGAAAUGUGUGGAUUGAGUGCACAUCAUGAGUUUGGGCCUUCCCGUUGACACGCAUUUGGUAUUUAAAUGGAGCAGUGU
This 2328-nucleotide long non-coding RNA is filed under the name Capsicum annuum. RNAcentral's name for it is "long non-coding RNA (CANN_LNC021941)". Lineage: Eukaryota; Viridiplantae; Streptophyta; Magnoliopsida; Solanales; Solanaceae. The record is from RNAcentral.